ACGAACGCUGGCGGCGUGCUUAACACAUGCAAGUCGAGCGGAAAGGCCCUUUCGGGGGUACUCGAGCGGCGAACGGGUGAGUAACACGUGAGUAAUCUGCCCUUCACUUGGGGAUAACCUCCGGAAACGGUGGCUAAUACCCGAUACGACCAUUCCUCGCAUGAGGUGGUGGUGGAAAGUUUUUCGGUGGGGGAUGUGCUGGCGGCCUAUCAGCUUGUUGGUGGGGUAAUGGCCUACCAAGGCUUCGACGGGUAGCCGGCCUGAGAGGGUGACCGGCCACACUGGGACUGAGACACGGCCCAGACUCCUACGGGAGGCAGCAGUGGGGAAUAUUGGACAAUGGGCGGAAGCCUGAUCCAGCAACGCCGCGUGAGGGAUGACGGCCUUCGGGUUGUAAACCUCUUUCACCUGUGACGAAGCGAAAGUGACGGUAGCAGGAGAAGAAGCACCGGCCAACUACGUG
RNAcentral lists this ribosomal RNA (463 nucleotides) under uncultured bacterium. Its description in RNAcentral is "partial 16S ribosomal RNA". It matches the Rfam family "Bacterial small subunit ribosomal RNA", at positions 29 to 507 of the family's 1533-position model. The record is from RNAcentral.